AGGCUUGUUUCCCCGAGGGCACUGCCAUCUCCCCUGAAUAGUCAAGGGCUGACUUGAGGCAGGAACCUGGCGAGCUCGACUCAGGUGGCCCUAGUCUUCUAGGCGACCAGAGCUUGACUUCCAAUUCCUUCUGCUAAGAGACAGGAACAGUCCUCGCUCUGCCUGUCUGGGGCUGAGUCAGCGUCUGUGCCGGGGGUGGGACUGAAAAGAGGGGCUGGUGCUUCCGGGCCUGCCUUGACCCCCCUGGUCACAGGAUAAGUUUCAAGUCCAGCUGUCCUGGAGCUUCUGCACUCUGAGCAUCAUAACUGCACCAUGCCCAUGAUCCUGGGUUACUGGGACAUUCGUGGGCUGGCCCAUGCCAUCCGCCUGCUCCUGGAGUAUACAGACUCAAACUAUGAGGAGAAGAAGUACACGAUGGGGGACGCUCCCGACUAUGACAGAAGCCAGUGGCUGAGUGAAAAAUUCACGCUGGGCCUGGACUUCCCCAAUUUGCCCUACUUAAUUGAUGGAGCUCACAAGCUCACCCAGAGCAAUGCCAUCCUUCGCUACAUCGCUCGCAAGCACAACAUGUGUGGGGAGACAGAGGAGGAGAAGAUCCGUGUGGACAUUUUGGAGAACCAGACUAUGGAUGUCCGAUUGCACAUGGCCAGGAUCUGUUACAGCCCUGACUUUGAGACACUGAAGCCUGGUUUCUUGAAGGAGAUCCCUGAAAAGAUGAAGCUCUUCUCAGAUUUUCUGGCGAAGAGGCCUUGGUUCGCAGGGGACAAGCUCACCUAUGUGGAUUUCUUGGCUUAUGAUGUCCUUGACCGGCACCGCAUAUUUGAACCUACAUGUCUGGAUGAAUUUCCAAACUUGAAAGACUUCAUUACCCGUUUCGAGUCUAAAACCAUGGUGAGCACUGGGAACCCAGGAUUGCCAAACUUUUUGUGUGUGUUCCCCAGAUGGGCAAGUUUCUUUAAAAAGUCGGUUUCCUUACGGGACUGCUGUGUGGUAUGAGGACUGGUCUCCACCUCUGCUGCAAGCUUCUCAAUUGCCUGAGAAAGCCAUACCUGGCCAGGGCCUGAAGAGGAUCUCUGCCUACAUGAAGUCUAGCCGCUUCCACCCAAACCCUAUGUUUCUAAAGCUUGCCGUGUGGGGAAACAAGUAAUGCCUCCAACUAGGAGAUGGACAUGAGGAGCCAGUGCCCUGGAGACCAGAUGGACCUUCCUGCACACAGAACCUUCUGUCUUUUUCUUUCUCUUUCUGUUCACUCUAGAUGCUCUCUUGGCCCCAUUAUCUCUCUCCCACACCCCUUUCCAUCCCUACUUUAAAGAUUCAGUUUCCCAUAAUUUUUGAGCAAAUUUCCUCCCCCACCCCACAUUAUCUCUCCUGCACUGAAGCCACCCAGGCAGUCCUUCCCUUCCAUGGUUGCUUCUGCUGUGAGGAGCCCAUCCAGAUGCCUGGCCCAUAGCGCUGUGCUCUGAGCUCCCAGCACUGCCCUGAAGACCAGACCUGGCCUGGUGUGCAGACCAUGCUUCCCAAUGUGGUUCCCGCCCAGCCUGUUUGAUCCCCAGGGAAGCCUUAUUCACACCUGCUGUGUCUUGUCUUAUUCCCUCCUGGCUUUCUGGAGUCAUGAAGGACUGUGUUGGGUGUAUAGGGGUGUCCAUGAUCUCUUCUGCUGUUUACUGCAGGGCCACAUGCAUGGGCAUGCGUGUGUGUGUAGAGGGGGUGGGGCUUGCUUGUUCAUUUCUAUCUCCACUUCAUGCAUCUCUGUUCCUUAGCAUCAAGUAUCUACAGAAGGGGGGCCCUUCUGUGCCUGGUUUCCUCUUUAAUUCAGCAUUCAUGGGCUGCCUCCUGUCAGCUUGCAGUACUCUGUGUCAUGGUUCAGGGGACUCUCAGGGGCUGGAGAAGGGGUCUGAGUAGUCUACUGAUGGUGUGGGAUCCUGGUGGAUUUGCUUCUGUCACUCUUUCCUGAAAGCUUACCCUGCUUUAGAUACCCUUCAUGUGCAUUCUUAAAACAUAUCUCAGUAAAGUCUGCCCCUACUAUAUUA
This is an RNA transcript of Bubalus bubalis (water buffalo), 2030 nucleotides long. It is a transcript of the gene named glutathione S-transferase Mu 1, with no coding region annotated. Lineage: Eukaryota; Metazoa; Chordata; Mammalia; Artiodactyla; Bovidae. The transcript is spliced from 9 exons. The record is from RefSeq and is a predicted model, not a curated record.